RNAcentral lists this long non-coding RNA (225 nucleotides) under Linum usitatissimum (flax). RNAcentral describes it as "long non-coding RNA (LUSI_LNC006971)". Lineage: Eukaryota; Viridiplantae; Streptophyta; Magnoliopsida; Malpighiales; Linaceae. The record is from RNAcentral.
UAACUCGAUCGAGUCUAGGAGUCAACAAAGUUUCUAAGUUGACUAAUUGAAGGUUAUCUAGUCUCCGUAAGUAGCAGUUUGUGUACUGCUUUCGAAUUUCGAAAAAAUAAAGAAAAUCUCAAAAAAUGGAAGCAGACAAGAAAAGACCCAGUCUCGGAGAUAAAAAAAAUGAAAUAAAAAGUACAAAAAGAAGAACGAAAAAAUCUCGAGUUACUAGAAUAAACG